This 755-nucleotide ribosomal RNA is filed under the name uncultured Methanomethylovorans sp. RNAcentral's name for it is "bacterial SSU rRNA". It matches the Rfam family "Archaeal small subunit ribosomal RNA", at positions 102 to 858 of the family's 1478-position model. Lineage: Archaea; Methanobacteriati; Methanobacteriota; Methanomicrobia; Methanosarcinales; Methanosarcinaceae. The record is from RNAcentral.
GGAUAACCUGCCCUUAGGACUGGCAUAACCCCGGGAAACUGGGGAUAAUUCCGGAUAGUUCAUGGUAGCUGGAAUGCUCCAUGAUCGAAAGCUAUUGCGCCUAAGGAUGGGUCUGCGGUCUAUCAGGUAGUAGUGGGUGUAAUGUACCUACUAGCCGACGACGGAUACGGGUUGUGGGAGCAAGAGCCCGGAGAUGGAUUCUGAGACAUGAAUCCAGGCCCUACGGGGCGCAGCAGGCGCGAAAACUUUACAAUGCGGGAAACCGCGAUAAGGGGACACCGAGUGCCAGCAUCUUAUGUUGGCUGUCCGCAUGUAUAAAUCACAUGUGCUAGCAAGGGCCGGGCAAGACCGGUGCCAGCCGCCGCGGUAACACCGGCGGCCCGAGUGGUGGCCACUAUUAUUGGGUCUAAAGGGUCCGUAGCCGGUUUGGUCAGUCUUCCGGGAAAUCUGACGGCUUAACCGUUAGGCUUUCGGGGGAUACUACCAGGCUUGGGACCGGGAGAGGUAAGAGGUACUACGGGGGUAGGAGUGAAAUCUUGUAAUCCUCGUGGGACCACCAGUGGCGAAGGCGUCUUACCAGGACGGGUCCGACGGUGAGGGACGAAAGCUGGGGGCACGAACCGGAUUAGAUACCCGGGUAGUCCCAGCCGUAAACUAUGCUCGCUAGGUGUCAGGGACGGUGCGACCGUUUCUGGUGCCGCAGGGAAGCCGUGAAGCGAGCCACCUGGGAAGUACGGUCGCAAGGCUGAAACUUA